UACGGAGGGUGCGAGCGUUGCUCGGAAUCACUGGGCGUAAAGCGUACGCAGGCUGUCGUGCAAGUCGGGUGUGAAAGCCCGGGGCUCAACCCCGGAAUUGCGCCCGAGACUGCGUGACUUGAAUGCGGGAGAGGGAAGCGGAAUUCCUGGUGUAGAGGUGAAAUUCGUAGAUAUCAGGAGGAACACCAGUGGCGAAAGCGGCUUCCUGGCCCGACAUUGACGCUCAUGUACGAAAGCGCGGGGAGCAAACAGG
RNAcentral lists this ribosomal RNA (253 nucleotides) under uncultured bacterium. RNAcentral describes it as "partial 16S ribosomal RNA". It matches the Rfam family "Bacterial small subunit ribosomal RNA", at positions 524 to 776 of the family's 1533-position model. The record is from RNAcentral.